Molecule: non-coding RNA, 46 nt
Filed under: Trichobilharzia regenti
Lineage: Eukaryota; Metazoa; Platyhelminthes; Trematoda; Strigeidida; Schistosomatidae
Source: RNAcentral
GUACUGCUGAAGAAUGCCAAACUAGGACGAAACAGCUGUCCAGUAC